AACGAACGCUGGCGGCAUGCCUAACACAUGCAAGUCGAACGAGACCUUCGGGUCUAGUGGCGCACGGGUGCGUAACGCGUGGGAACCUGCCCUUAGGUUCGGAAUAAAUCCCCGAAAGGGGUGCUAAUACAGGAUAAUGUCUUCGGACCAAAGAUUUAUUGCCUUUGGAUGGGCCCGCGUUGGAUUAGCUAGUUGGUAGGGUAAAAGCCUACCAAGGCGACGAUCCAUAGCUGGUCUGAGAGGAGGAUCAGCCACACUGGGACUGAGACACGGCCCAGACUCCUACGGGAAGCAGCAGUGGGGAAUAGUGGACAAUGGACGAAAGCCUGAUCCAGCAGUGCCGCGGGAGUGAUGAAGGCCUUAGGGUUGUAAAGCUCUUUUACCCGGGAUGAUAAUGACAGUACCGGGAGAAUAAGCUCCGGCUAACUCCGUG
RNAcentral lists this ribosomal RNA (433 nucleotides) under uncultured bacterium. RNAcentral's name for it is "partial 16S ribosomal RNA". It matches the Rfam family "Bacterial small subunit ribosomal RNA", at positions 29 to 507 of the family's 1533-position model. The record is from RNAcentral.